GCCGAUGUGGCGGAAUUGGCAGACGCGCUAGACUCAAAAUCUGGUACUCUUACGAGUGUGUGGGUUCGACCCCCUCCGUCGGCACCA
Molecule: transfer RNA, 87 nt
Filed under: Verrucomicrobiota bacterium
Lineage: Bacteria; Pseudomonadati; Verrucomicrobiota
Also listed under: 4 other names
Description: tRNA-Leu
Rfam family: tRNA
About the family: Transfer RNA (tRNA) molecules are approximately 80 nucleotides in length. Their secondary structure includes four short double-helical elements and three loops (D, anti-codon, and T loops).
Source: RNAcentral